UUUUCCCUGGAAAUAGCACUAAAUACUUAGCUUUUGAAAGUAAUUAGCUCUGACCUGAAACCACAUGUAGGAAUGUAAUCCAUCACAAACGACAGGAAAGGGACAUGUUUAAUAAGUUAUUGUACUUUAAUCACACAAAACAUCACACAAGCAUAACAAAGUACAUGGAGAAGAAAAAAAAGUCAUACUUAAUAAGCAAAAAAAAAAUAAAAAAAUUAAAGUGUAUCAUCUCCAAUGGUCCUAAAAAACAUCAUUUCCAUGCACGCAUGACAACAUGUUAUGGUAGAAAUACUCCUGUACUGAUUGCAUGACUUCAGUAGUAUUAGAAAAGGAGAAGAAGUCAGGAAGUGACAUCAUGCACGAAAGAGGAAUUUAGUGUGUAUUGUCUAUGGGUGGGGGUGGGGGGGGGGGUGUAUUACUGUGUAUAUAUAUAUGUGUGUGUUUAUGUUCUAUUGUGAGCACAUUACAGUGAUGUCUGUCCUGACACACAAUCCUCCAGCCUCCACAGGGCUCAGUGUUAAUUAAAAAAGGCUUCUCGUAUUGGCUGGGCCUCGCCGCCGAUGGGAGCUGCAGAUUUUGGACCGGAGCGAAGAGCAUCGAUGGUGAAGAGAGUUGAGGUACUUCUCUUCCUGAUGCUGCUGAUGCUAAAAAUUGCAGCACUAAGGGCUGAAGCGAGACUUCCUGCGAUCCUGGAUCAUGUGACCCCCCGUCUCAUGCCCGCCGUUUGGACGUUUCACGAGUUGGAGCAAAAGUGGGUGCCCUUUUUUCUGGCUUGAGCAUGUGACCUCUAAAAUGUCUGCGCACGGGUCUGCUCCCAAGCGGUGGUGCGCCAAAGAAAAGGAAAGCCAUCACCCGAUUGCUUGACUACGGCAACCAUCUGAAUGCUAAUGAAUCCUCGGAGGGGAGGGGGUCAUGGAUUCUGUGCACUGUCACCUGUAACUAAGGAAAAACGACGCCCCGUGAAGGCCACUCACCGUAGCAGGAGACGAUCUCUGCGCCGUGCCGCUCCUCUCCUUCCCGGGGAGGCGUCCUGCAGGAGGACCGGUGCAUGAAGAGGUGGAAUUUACUGAAAGCAGCCUGUCCGGCAUCCAGCGAGUGGCACUCCUGCGGGAAGGGGCUCCGGGACUUGUCUCCUCCGUACGCGUGACCUUUGUAUUUGGACUCAGUCCUCAAGUGGUCCUCCUGCUGGUCCCGACCUUGCGCUGCAGGAGGACUGUAAAACGCGUCCAUGGAGGUCAUGUCGCUGUACGGACUGCAAGUCUCCGAGUCCAUGCCUUCCAAAAAAAAAGAAAAAUGAAAACUUUCUCUCUCUCUUUUUUUUUUUUUUUUGCACACCCCUUUUCACGCACACGCAAAUCACGCACGGACCCGCCGCAGCUGGUUUUGCUUAUAAAACCAUUCAGACGUUUUGUGUCUUUGAGCAAACACCCCCUCGGGUCUGGGGUCUGACAAAGGGAUGAGGAUCAGGAUCAGGAUCAGGAUGACCUCCCGUCUCGGUGGAGACCUCUGCCAAGUGUUCGUGACGUGGACUACCGAGGCCGCUUAUUAGGAGCAAAGUGCUGCAAAAAAAAAAAAAAGUUUGCCAAUAAGGGCGUGACACGUGACAUUCACUGCGCGUGGAGAUAAAUGCGCGAGUGAUGGACGGCUAACACCGGAACACAAUUUCAUGCUUCAUCCCAGAUGCUGCAUUCACGGACAAUGACUUCAUUUGUUUGCAUUCCUAAACAUAUACUGCUUUGUUUUAUGUCCGUUUGGCUUAUAUCGCAUCAUAGGAGUCAUAAAAUAAAAAUGUUUUUGUAGUAAAAAAAAUCAUAAAAUAUGCACAAAAGGGCCUCCGGUAAUAGAAAAUAUUUCC
Molecule: non-coding RNA, 1855 nt
Organism: Doryrhamphus excisus (bluestripe pipefish)
Lineage: Eukaryota; Metazoa; Chordata; Actinopteri; Syngnathiformes; Syngnathidae
Source: RefSeq, a predicted model, not a curated record